RNAcentral lists this ribosomal RNA (420 nucleotides) under uncultured Streptococcus sp. Its description in RNAcentral is "bacterial SSU rRNA". It matches the Rfam family "Bacterial small subunit ribosomal RNA", at positions 445 to 856 of the family's 1533-position model. Lineage: Bacteria; Bacillati; Bacillota; Bacilli; Lactobacillales; Streptococcaceae. The record is from RNAcentral.
AAGAAUGAUGGUGGGAGUGGAAAAUCCACCAAGUGACGGUAACUAACCAGAAAGGGACGGCUAACUACGUGCCAGCAGCCGCGGUAAUACGUAGGUCCCGAGCGUUGUCCGGAUUUAUUGGGCGUAAAGCGAGCGCAGGCGGUUUUUUAAGUCUGAAGUUAAAGGCAUUGGCUCAACCAAUGUACGCUUUGGAAACUGGAGAACUUGAGUGCAGAAGGGGAGAGUGGAAUUCCAUGUGUAGCGGUGAAAUGCGUAGAUAUAUGGAGGAACACCGGUGGCGAAAGCGGCUCUCUGGUCUGUAACUGACGCUGAGGCUCGAAAGCGUGGGGAGCAAACAGGAUUAGAUACCCUGGUAGUCCACGCCGUAAACGAUGAGUGCUAGGUGUUAGGCCCUUUCCGGGGCUUAGUGCCGGAGCUAAC